Molecule: small nuclear RNA, 108 nt
Filed under: Marmota monax (woodchuck)
Lineage: Eukaryota; Metazoa; Chordata; Mammalia; Rodentia; Sciuridae
Source: RNAcentral
CUGCUCACUUUUGCAGCACCUAUACUAAAAUUGGAAUGAUACAGAUAAGAUUAGCAUGACUUUUAAACCAUAAACCCAGUCUAAUCAUGAGAUAAACAUCACACAAAU